Molecule: ribosomal RNA, 253 nt
Filed under: uncultured bacterium
Lineage: Bacteria
Description: partial 16S ribosomal RNA
Rfam family: Bacterial small subunit ribosomal RNA
Source: RNAcentral
UACGUAGGGAGCAAGCGUUGUCCGGAAUCAUUGGGCGUAAAGCGCGCGUAGGCGGCCCCGUAAGUCCGCUGUGAAAGUCAAAGGCUCAACCUUUGAAAGCCGGUGGAUACUGUGGGGCUAGAGUCCGGAAGAGGCGAGUGGAAUUCCUGGUGUAGCGGUGGAAUGCGCAGAUAUCAGGAGGAACACCGGUGGCGAAGGCGGGACUCUGGGCCGAUACUGACGCUGAGGAGCGAAAGCGUGGGGAGCGAACAGG